GGCCCUCCCUGCAGGUGCAGGGGCUGCGCGUUGCACUGCGAGGCUCCCUCGGCUCGCACAGCCACGGGGGUGCGUGGACUCCGUGGGGAGCCAGGACGGGAGGCCUGGGCAGCCGGGGGGCCCGGAGGAGAUCAAGGAGCGCGGUCCGCACUGCAGCACCGGGCACCUCGAAGAGGGAGCGAUGCGGCUGACAUGGUGAACGGCCGCGUGGGCGCAACACGCAGGAGAAGCCGACUCUUGGACCUGGAACCACUGUCGUUGACCUGGACGGGAGCAGCGGGAAGGGUGCGCAGGCGGCGAGCAGAGGACCAAGGCCCGGGUGGCACAGGCUGUGGGCUGCCCCAACGCUUUCCUCCUUUAUUCUCGUUAAAAGAGAUCUCACUUUAUUCGCGGCGCACGUGAGCGGGAAGACGAUGCUUCCCAGUGCCCUGCAGAAACCACCCUUCAGACGGGCUGGUGAUGCUUGUUGGUGCACGAGCCGGAGCGCUCCUGCCAAGCGGGAGGUGCCCGUGCCACCUUCACCACCCUCCUGCCCCCUUCCAGCCCCAGCUGCCACCUGCUGCCUCAGGUGCAGCCGACCUCGAAGGGAGCUGGCCGCGGGGAGGGCAGAGGAGGAAGGCGCAAGCCCUUAGGUCCUGGGGGUCCCCAGGGCUGCCGGGUUAGCCCCCACUGCGACCUCCGGGUGGCUCUUCCUGGAACCCCGACGUCUGAAGGAGAUGCAUCUAAGUCAAUUAGCAGCUGUGUGUAUUUCCUAAAUGAUUUAGAUCGUGGACCUCGGAUGAAUUCAAUUCUGCCCAAUUAAUCUAUAAAUUUAAUGUGAUCCCCAAAUGAACAGCAACAUGAUUUGUUCUGGAAUUAGACAAGCUGAUGCUAAAACUCACACAGGAAAAGAAAGCAGCAGAAACAGCUCAGGAAACUCCCAAACAGACGUGCGCACGGGGAGGUGACGAGGGCUGGAGCGACCGACUGAAACUAGCAGACACAACAUGUGGUGGUGGUUCCUGGACGGUUAGCGAGGCCAGUGGGACAGGAGGCAGAGUCCAGGAAUGGGGCCGGGUGGGUAAGGACGUUCAGAGCACGGGGCGCAGGCUUCCGCACAGGCUUCCGUUCUUAAACUACUGGGAAAGCAGGUGGGCCGUUCAGUAGCUUGGAACAAUGACGUCAACCCAGAGAAAAUUACUGUUAACUCCAGACAUGGGACAUCAGCAGGCAUCUCAAAUUAGGGCAUGUUCCAUGUGGGUCAGGAAUCUAGACGUGGACGAAAAACGAUCCGUGUAGUAACUGGGAGAAUCAUCGACGGUCUCAGAGUCGGAGAGGCUUUUCUAGGAAAAAAAAAACAAAAAAACAGAAACACAAAAAAGCCAUGCCAAGAAAUCAUGAAAUAAAAUCUGGAUAAGCCGGGCUACAUAAAAAAUAGUUAAAAAUGCCGCACAACCAAACCCACCACAAGUAAAGCCAAACAACUAACAACUGACCUCAGAGCAAGGUCAGUUUCUCUACCAAGAGCUCCUACAAAAUAAGUAAGACCAAGGGCCCCAAAGAACGGGCGACCCGUGAAGACAGACACGCGGCUCUUCCCCGGGAACAGACGGGCCUUCGCUGGAGCGACAACAGCUGCAGACUGAGUCCCUGUCACCCAGGGGCAGAGUCGGAGGCCCGGGCUGGGAGGGCCGCUGGGGACCCUUUCUCCUCCCCUGGUGGUCCCGCCGGUGCAAGGGCCUCCCCGCCUUCUCCACCCGGGCUGCGUUUUCGAGGCCCUGUUGUGUGGAGGCUCCUUGCUGGUCUUCCCCGAGGGGCCAAGGCCGAGCUGCAGCGCCUCCCGGUGAUGGGGUCCCGGGCCAGCAGAUUGUCAUUUCUCCCGUGAGAACUGCAUCCUGUCAGCGUCUGUCUUCCUGAAUGGACCAGCAUCGGCUCUGGCUCGGUGUCACGGAGUCUCGUGGAAACACCCGCCCUCCUCCCGAGGCCUCUGUGCAGGAACAUCCAAGGAGGCUCCCUCGCCCCCCCACAUGCAGUUCUUCCAGCCCAGGCCCCGUUCCCGUUCCCCUGUGGGGCAGCUGGCAGUGGGGCAGGUGACAUCUGCGGGCGGCUGAGAGACCGGCUUCCAGGGCUCCCUGAGCCCACACGGGAAGAGUCUUGGCUCGCUCGGCGCCCUGACGACAGACGGGCGUCUCACUGCAGCUUCCCGGAGCGACCAGAGUCCCCAGGAAAGCAGUCGUUGACAACCGGUGAGCCAGGAGCCCGCCAAGCAUACGGCGCCUCCUCCACCCCUUCUGGCGUCACCCCCCCCUCCCGGCGGCUGCACAGACGGCCCCCAGCCCUGUGUCUGCAGCCUGCCCUCCUCCCCCUUGCAUGGAGCCCGGGCCCUGCGGGCGAGCGAGCAGGGCCCAGGGGCACAAAGGAGGGACGGGUCAGCUCCUCUCCGCCCUUCCCCUCGACAAGUCGGGGCUGCGUCCCUGCACGUGCUGCUGGGGAUGAGGGGUGCUCCGUGGGGGGGCUCCAAGUGGCGAGGAUGCUGCCCAGCGCCCCUGUCGUUCCCCCCCUC
Long non-coding RNA from Canis lupus familiaris (dog), 2542 nucleotides. RefSeq lists it as uncharacterized. Lineage: Eukaryota; Metazoa; Chordata; Mammalia; Carnivora; Canidae. The record is from RefSeq and is a predicted model, not a curated record. The transcript has 3 exons.